GAUGAACGCUGGCGGCGUGCCUAAUACAUGCAAGUCGAGCGAACAGACGAGGAGCUUGCUCCUCUGACGUUAGCGGCGGACGGGUGAGUAACACGUGGAUAACCUACCUAUAAGACUGGGAUAACUUCGGGAAACCGGAGCUAAUACCGGAUAAUAUAUUGAACCGCAUGGUUCAAUAGUGAAAGACGGUUUUGCUGUCACUUAUAGAUGGAUCCGCGCCGCAUUAGCUAGUUGGUAAGGUAACGGCUUACCAAGGCAACGAUGCGUAGCCGACCUGAGAGGGUGAUCGGCCACACUGAAACUGAGCACCGGUCCAGACUCCUACGGAGGCCGGCAGAGGGAAAUCUUCGGCAAUGGCCGAAGGCUUGACGAGGCAACGCCGCGGGGGUAAGAAAGGUCUUCGGACCGUAAAACUCUGUUAUAGGGAAGAACCAAUUGUGUAGUUACCAAGCACCGCUUGAAGGGACCCAAACCAGAAGGCAACGCCUAACUCCGU
RNAcentral lists this ribosomal RNA (496 nucleotides) under uncultured bacterium. RNAcentral's name for it is "partial 16S ribosomal RNA". It matches the Rfam family "Bacterial small subunit ribosomal RNA", at positions 28 to 506 of the family's 1533-position model. The record is from RNAcentral.